CCUACGGGCGGCAGCAGUGGGGAAUAUUGCACAAUGGGGGGAACCCUGAUGCAGCGAUGCCGCGUGGAGGAAGAAGGUUUUCGGAUUGUAAACUCCUGUCUUAAAGGACGAUAAUGACGGUACUUUAGGAGGAAGCUCCGGCUAACUCCGUGCCAGCAGCCGCGGUAAUACGGAGGGUCCGAGCGUUAUCCGGAUUUAUUGGGUUUAAAGGGAGCGUAGGCGGGAUCGCAAGUCAGAUGUGAAAUACAUGGGCUCAACCCAUGGGCUGCAUUUGAAACUGUGGUUCUUGAGUGAAGUAGAGGUAAGCGGAAUUCCUGGUGUAGCGGUGAAAUGCGUAGAUAUCAGGAGGAACACCGGUGGCGAAGGCGGCUUACUGGGCUGUAACUGACGCUGAGGCUCGAAAGCGUGGGGAGCAAACAGGAUUAGAUACCCUGGUAGUC
Molecule: ribosomal RNA, 440 nt
Filed under: Salmonella enterica subsp. enterica serovar Montevideo
Lineage: Bacteria; Pseudomonadati; Pseudomonadota; Gammaproteobacteria; Enterobacterales; Enterobacteriaceae
Description: bacterial SSU rRNA
Rfam family: Bacterial small subunit ribosomal RNA
Source: RNAcentral